AGGUAGCCUGUUAUGCAGUCGAGCGGUGCACAGCAGUGAAGCUUGCUCUCUCCCGGCGGCGAGCGGCGGACGGGUGAGUAAUGUCUGGGAAACUGCCUGAUGGAGGGGGAUAACUACUGGAAACGGUAGCUAAUACCGCAUAACGUCGCAAGACCAAAGAGGGGGACCUUCGGGCCUCUUGCCAUCGGAUGUGCCCAGAUGGGAUUAGCUAGUAGGUGAGGUAAUGGCUCACCUAGGCGACGAUCCCUAGCUGGUCUGAGAGGAUGACCAGCCACACUGGAACUGAGACACGGUCCAGACUCCUACGGGAGGCAGCAGUGGGGAAUAUUGCACAAUGGGCGCAAGCCUGAUGCAGCCAUGCCGCGUGUGUGAAGAAGGCCUUCGGGUUGUAAAGCACUUUCAGCGGGGAGGAAGGGAGCAGGCUUAAUACGUCUGUUCAUUGACGUUACCCGCAGAAGAAGCACCGGCUAACUCCGUGCCAGCAGCCGCGGUAAUACGGAGGGUGCAAGCGUUAAUCGGAAUGACUGGGCGUAAAGCGCACGCAGGCGGUCUGUUAAGUUGGAUGUGAAAUCCCCGGGCUUAACCUGGGAACUGCAUUCAAAACUGACAGGCUAGAGUCUCGUAGAGGGGGGUAGAAUUCCAGGUGUAGCGGUGAAAUGCGUAGAGAUCUGGAGGAAUACCGGUGGCGAAGGCGGCCCCCUGGACGAAGACUGACGCUCAGGUGCGAAAGCGUGGGGAGCAAACAGGAUUAGAUACCCUGGUAGUCCACGCUGUAAACGAUGUCGAUUUGGAGGUUGUGGUCUUGAACCGUGGCUUCCGGAGCUAACGCGUUAAAUCGACCGCCUGGGGAGUACGGCCGCAAAGGUUAAAAACUCAAAUGAAUUGGACGGGGGGCCCCCCCAAACGGGGGGAACAUGUGGGUUUAAUUUCAUCCAACACGAAGAACCUUACCUACUCUUGACAUCCAGAGAAGCCUGCAGAGAUGCGGGUGUGCCUUCGGGAACUCUGAGACAGGUGCUGCAUGGCUGUCGUCAGCUCGUGUUGUGAAAUGUUGGGUUAAGUCCCGCAACGAGCGCAACCCUUAUCCUUUGUUGCCAGCACUUCGGGUGGGAACUCAAGGGAGACUGCCGGUGAUAAACCGGAGGAAGGUGGGGAUGACGUCAAGUCAUCAUGGCCCUUACGAGUAGGGCUACACACGUGCUACAAUGGCGUAUACAAAGAGAAGCGACCUCGCGAGAGCAAGCGGACCUCAUAAAGUACGUCGUAGUCCGGAUUGGAGUCUGCAACUCGACUCCAUGAAGUCGGAAUCGCUAGUAAUCGUAGAUCAGAAUGCUACGGUGAAUACGUUCCCGGGCCUUGUACACACCGCCCGUCACACCAUGGGAGUGGGUUGCAAAAGAAGUAGGUAGCUUAACCUUCGGGAGGGCGCUUACCACUUUGUGU
This 1443-nucleotide ribosomal RNA is filed under the name Dickeya chrysanthemi. RNAcentral's name for it is "bacterial SSU rRNA". It matches the Rfam family "Bacterial small subunit ribosomal RNA". Lineage: Bacteria; Pseudomonadati; Pseudomonadota; Gammaproteobacteria; Enterobacterales; Pectobacteriaceae. The record is from RNAcentral.